This 1061-nucleotide long non-coding RNA is filed under the name Felis catus (domestic cat). Its description in RNAcentral is "lncRNA (ENSFCAG00000040688.2)". The record is from RNAcentral. Lineage: Eukaryota; Metazoa; Chordata; Mammalia; Carnivora; Felidae.
GGUCAAAGAGCCUCUGCUCCCCUCAGGAGGGCAAGGACAGUGAGUGAGACGGUUGAGGGGACCAGGGGCCUCUCGGGCUUCCGGCCCCUCCCCCACCCUCCAGUGGCAGUUGGCUGUGGUUGGGGUUUCCAGGGCGGCCGUGCAAGGCUCUGAAUGUGCUUUGGCAGUUGGCCUGCGGAACAUCCCCGUCUCCCGUGCAGUUCCUGGGUGCAGAACUCUCCGGAAGCAGGGGCUUCUAAACGGCUCAACCCAGACCUCCCGCUCAGGCCGGGCUGCUCUGCCCCCAGCGGUCGGAGGCCAGGCAGCCGCGUCUGAAACUCACUGACUUGAUGGCUCCCGGUGGCAGCCGGGGGGCAUCAUGGAAAGGGGGGCAUGAGGAGUUGCCUUGGCCGGGAUUUCAGGGGGCUGGGAAGGCUCCCGCCUUUGCCAAGAAACUCUCCUCUCCUCCCAGGGGCUUCCUCCCCUCUCUCAAAUACACGCCGGCCCACCACGAAAGACCCUCCAAGAAACAGUUACCAGAAGCCAUGACGUGUCCCUGCCGCCGGAGGCCUUCCAGGGAGGGCCGAAGAGGCCUCCGGGGCCCAGCGUUAGGUGCGGACGAAGGAAGAGAAAGUUUGGACCCCAGCUCAAGGAAGGAGGCAAAGAAACUCAAAGGGGAGGCACCAUCCAAUACCCCACAGGCCUCAGUUGGAAAUGACAAGAAGCUUCCAGGUCAGACGCCAUCCCCUGGUCCCCUGGAGGAGGUUUCAGUCCUGCCGAAGUCACACAGCCUCUUCACCCACUUUUGAGCUAGUCCCAAGAAGAGCCCCUCCCUCACCAGACUCUUGGUGUGUGAUGCCAUGACGCGUGCUCAUGGCCGACCCCGUUCCAUAUUGACCUGCUUUUCAAUCCCAGGCUAAGGCUGCAUUCUCGUUGUCUCGAUACCUCUUCCUCGUGUGCUCCUAGAGGGCAAGACACUGUUUCUCAUGCAUUUCUGGAUCCCUGGAGAUUAGUUUAGCGCUUGGUAUGCGUGCCCAGCACAUCCUGUUUUUGAAUAAAAUUAUUUCAAAAUGGCGUCUACA